Molecule: ribosomal RNA, 451 nt
Filed under: uncultured bacterium
Lineage: Bacteria
Description: partial 16S ribosomal RNA
Rfam family: Bacterial small subunit ribosomal RNA
Source: RNAcentral
GUGGGGAAUAUUGGACAAUGGGGGGAACCCUGAUCCAGCCAUGCCGCGUGUGUGAAGAAGGCCUUUUGGUUGUAAAGCACUUUAAGUGGGGAGGAGGCUUACCUGGUUAAUACCUGGGCUAAGUGGACGUUACCCACAGAAUAAGCACCGGCUAACUCUGUGCCAGCAGCCGCGGUAAUACAGAGGGUGCGAGCGUUAAUCGGAUUUACUGGGCGUAAAGCGCGCGUAGGUGGUUAAUUAAGUCAAAUGUGAAAUCCCCGAGCUUAACUUGGGAAUUGCAUUCGAUACUGGUUAGCUAGAGUAAGGGAGAGGAUGGUAGAAUUCCAGGUGUAGCGGUGAAAUGCGUAGAGAUCUGGAGGAAUACCGAUGGCGAAGGCAGCCAUCUGGCCUAAUACUGACACUGAGGUGCGAAAGCAUGGGGAGCAAACAGGAUUAGAUACCCCAGUAGUCC